This is an RNA transcript of Hyla sarda, 1432 nucleotides long. RefSeq lists it as uncharacterized. NCBI's taxonomy places the organism in Eukaryota, Metazoa, Chordata, Amphibia, Anura, Hylidae. The transcript is spliced from 2 exons. The record is from RefSeq and is a predicted model, not a curated record.
CUCAGUGUAGAGUUGCGAUCCCCCUUUGCCUUAGGGACCUAGUGUCUCUUUGGUGCGCUUGAUUGUGAGCAUGGCGUCAGCCAGUGACGGAGAUCCAGGCAUGGUACCAUCUUAUGCCAAGCUCAAGAACUCAGUACGUAUAUCGUACUUGGAGGACCAGAGAAAGAACCGGGACCUGAAGUACAUCGUGGAGCAAGUUCUGCUGGGCGUCUUUGGAUUAAGGAAGCAUGAGAUAUUAUCCAUCCAAGAUUAUCCGAAAAGAGGAGUAUACGAUGUUACUUUUACGGAAGGAGGUAUUUACAAGGACUUUGUUAUACAGAUGAAGAAGGUAAGCGGAGAUUCCCGCUUGAGUGGAAUAAGAAUUGUUGAGCACUUUCCCGAUGAACUUAUGCUUUUAGUUAUAAAAAUGUACUCUCCAUACGUUAAAGAAGAUGAAAUUGUUGUGUUUUUAAGGAAUUUUUGUAAAAAAAUUAUAAAUAGAGGGAAAGUGAUGAAUGAGUGUGGAAUAUGGUCCUCUAAGUGGAAGUUUCUGGUUGAGUUCAAAGAAGAUCUAUUACUCCCAGGACGAAAGGUUAUGCCUCCAGCUCGGUUCAAGUUAGGAAAUGUAAAUGGUGACGUGUUUUUCCCAGGAAUGCCCAAUUUCUGCAGAGCUUGUAGAAGAUAUGGACAUGAUAAAAACGUAUGUGAGAGUACAUGUACAAAUUGUGGCAGCACUGAGCACUCCUCCAGAGAAUGCACAAAAGAAAAGAAAUGCAGUUUAUGUUACAGAGUUGACCAUUUGUAUGCUUCUUGUCCUCACAGAAACAAAGAGAAACAACAGAGAAGCCAGCCAGACCCCCGUCAUAUGAACAGAGAAGACAGCAAACCAGAAGAAAACCCAACUGAUCCACAUGGUGAGUCUGCUACCUCUGAUGAAGAUGGAUAUGAGAAACCCUCCAGCAUGAAGGUAAGAAGAAAGGAGAAGAAAGCAUGGCAGACAGGAGCUCCUCUCUCGCAGCAGAGGGGUAGUAACCUGGAUGAAGCUGUCAGCAAGCCUCAGAGUGCCCCCCUGAGGAAGCCAGAAAAUGUUGGGGCUAAGAGAAGAAAGACCGGAACAGGAAGAGAAGAGGCGUUUGUGGAAGAAGAGGGGGGGGGUAGGGAUGCCAUCAGGUGUUCCAGCCCCCUCCCCAAGUGAAACAGGCAACUCGUCCAUGGUUCCCGACACGGUGGAAGUCGUUGUGCCCGACCGGCUGCCCGGGGUGGCUCCGACAGGUCAUCCCGGGGAGGAGAUGGACACUGGGCAAGGUGACGGAGACGGGACAACCCCUGUUCCGGCGAAGAGGAAUCCUCUCCUUAGUCCCCUACCGGAGGAUCUUCAGGAGGAGUUUUCUUCUUACAGGAAUGUGGCAUCCCUCACCAAGCAUCAUACAAGAAAUAUGAAGAAGACUGGAAG